RNAcentral lists this unclassified non-coding RNA (312 nucleotides) under Camellia sinensis. RNAcentral describes it as "partial external transcribed spacer". Lineage: Eukaryota; Viridiplantae; Streptophyta; Magnoliopsida; Ericales; Theaceae. The record is from RNAcentral.
GAAUUCGGUCCGUAUCGUGUGCCUAUCUUCUCCUCGCCACCUCGUGGCGCUGGGGGAACCCCAAAGUAUCUCCCGUGUUCCGUGCUGUCCUCUCACGUUGCCGUGUCGGUGGCAUUGCCCGCGGGCAGUUAUGCUCGUGCUCUCGGAUUCGGAGCCUUGUGCGGGUACACGGGGUCUUCGACCUCCGUUUUCCCGCCAAGCGUUCGUCGCUCGUUGCGGGCUACGGCCGCGCCUGCGUCUGACCGUACCGGCUCUGUCGGUCGGGCUUAUGCAGCGCCGGCGUCGGAAAAAAGGAAUGCUACCUGGUUGAUC